UUCUCAAAAUUGUCUAUGCUCCUAUCACAAAAUUCCUUUGGAAUGGUCUUGAUUAUGGAGUAUGUUGGAGUGACUCAAAAAUUGUUAUUAGAGUUUGAAAAUAAAUUUUCAUGUGUCUUUUUAUUUGAUUUUUUAAAAUUUAUAUUUUGAAAUGAGAAGUGUCUCAUUAUCAUCUUGUUUGCAACAAUUUUUGAAUAUGUGGAAAGUAAAUCAAUCAUAAAUAAAAUCUGAGGAAACAAGAAUAUUAUUGAUAGAACAA
This 259-nucleotide long non-coding RNA is filed under the name Solanum tuberosum (potato). RNAcentral describes it as "long non-coding RNA (STUB_LNC000735)". The record is from RNAcentral. Lineage: Eukaryota; Viridiplantae; Streptophyta; Magnoliopsida; Solanales; Solanaceae.